This 198-nucleotide unclassified non-coding RNA is filed under the name rhizosphere metagenome. Its description in RNAcentral is "partial ribosomal RNA internal transcribed spacer region". The record is from RNAcentral.
GUAGGUGAACCUGCGGAAGGAUCAUUAUCGUAGGGCUUCGGCCCUGUCGAGAUAGAACCCUUGCCUUUUUGAGUACCUUUCGUUUCCUCGGCGGCUUCGGCCGCCAAUGGGGACCCCCAAAAACACUUUGCAGUACCUGUAACAGUCUGAACAAACAAACAAAAAUUAAAACUUUCAACAACGGAUCUCUUGGUUCUG